This 440-nucleotide ribosomal RNA is filed under the name uncultured bacterium. RNAcentral's name for it is "partial 16S ribosomal RNA". It matches the Rfam family "Bacterial small subunit ribosomal RNA", at positions 338 to 795 of the family's 1533-position model. The record is from RNAcentral.
CCUACGGGUGGCAGCAGUGGGGGAUAUUGCACAAUGGGGGAAACCCUGAUGCAGCGACGCCGCGUGUGGGAAGACGGUCCUCUGGAUUGUAAACCACUGUCCCCAGGGACGAAGAUGACGGUACCUGGGGCGGACGCUCCGGCUAACUACGUGCCAGCAGCCGCGGUCAUACGUAGGGAGCGAGCGUUGUCCGGAAUUACUGGGUGUAAAGGGAGCGUAGGCGGGGAUGCAAGUUGGGGGUCAAAACUACCGGCUCAACUGGUAGUCGCACUCAAAACUGCAGCUCUUGAGUGAAGUAGAGGCAGGCGGAAUGCCUAGUGUAGCGGUGAAAUGCGUAGAUAUUAGGAGGAACACCAGUGGCGAAGGCGGCCUGCUGGGCUGUGACUGACGCUGAGGCUCGAAAGUGUGGGGAGCAAACAGGAUUAGAUACCCGGGUAGUC